RNAcentral lists this ribosomal RNA (809 nucleotides) under uncultured bacterium. RNAcentral's name for it is "bacterial SSU rRNA". It matches the Rfam family "Bacterial small subunit ribosomal RNA", at positions 8 to 796 of the family's 1533-position model. The record is from RNAcentral.
AGAGUUUGAUCAUGGCUCAGAACGAACGCUGGCGGCGUGGAUAAGACAUGCAAGUCGAACGCUGAUUUCAGGGUAGCAAUAUCUUGAAGUUGGAGUGGCGCAAGGGUGCGUAACACGUGGGUAAUUUGCCGUGAAGUUGGGAAUAACUCGCUGAAAGGCGAGCUAAUGCCGAAUGUGACAGCCGGGAGGAUCUCCUGGUUUUCAAAGCUGGGGACCGCAGGGCCUGGGCUUCACGAUAAGCCCGCGGCCUAUCAGCUAGUUGGGAGGUAACGCUCACCAAGGCUAAGACGGGUAGCUGGUCUGAGAGGACGACCAGCACACUGGAACUGAGACACGGUCCAGACACCUACGGGUGGCAGCAGUCGAGAAUUUUUCUCAAUGGGCGAAAGCCUGAAGGAGCGACGCCGCGUGGGGGAUGAAGGGCUUCGGCCCGUAAACCCCUGUCAUUUGCGAACAAACCUUACGGUCUAACACAUCGUGAGCUGAUUGUAGCGAAAGAGGAAGGGACGGCUAACUCUGUCCAGCAGCCGCGGUAAUACAGAGGUCCCAAGCGUUGUUCGGAUUCACUGGGCGUAAAGGGUGCGUAGGUGGCGGGGUAAGUUUGAUGUGAAAUCUCCGGGCUUAACCCGGAAACUGCAUUGAAUACUAUCUCGCUCGAGGUUUGGAGGGGGGACUGGAAUUCUCGGUGUAGCAGUGAAAUGCGUAGAUAUCGAGAGGAACACCAGUGGCGAAGGCGAGUCCCUGGACAACACCUGACACUGAGGCACGAAAGCUAGGGGAGCAAACAGGAUUAGAUACCCNNGUAGUCC